CCGGGAAUAGUUUUUUUUAGGGUGUAAUGACCAUCCCCCCCCUGGGGGGGGGGGAGAUCGAAGGAUCUUACCACCCUAAAAACUUUCCACGUGAACUGUCGUUAUUUGUUGUGUGUCUGCGCGUUGCUGGCGUGCGUUUGCUUACGCUUCGGUGUUUGCGAGUGCGUGCUGGCGGUGCGCGGACUGAACGAAGGUCGUGUUGCUGUGUGCCUGCUGCCCUGCUGACUUUGCAUUGAUUUGCAUGGUCUUGGCGGAGCGGCGGGUGCUGUGCGUGCGCGGCUGACUUACUUUUUCAAACCCCAUACCUAACUUACUGAUUAUACUGUGAGAACGAAAGUUCUUGCUUUUAACUAGAUAACAACUUUCAGCAGUGGAUGUCUAGGCUCGCACAUCGAUGAAGAACGCUGCGAACUGCGAUACGUAAUGCGAAUUGCAGAAUUCAGUGAGUCAUCGAAAUUUUGAACGCAUAUUGCACUUCCGGGUUAUGCCUGGAAGUAUGUCUGUAUCAGUGUCCGUAAAUCAAACUUGCCUUUCUUCCUUCCGUGUAGUCGGUGGAGGAGAGUUGCAGAUGUGAAGUGUCUCGCUGUGGUUGGUAUAUUUGUUUAUGCACAACUUGCGAGUCCUUUUAAAUGGACACGACUUUCUCUUUUUUGUAUCUGCGCGGUGCUGUGCGUGAACGCGGUGGUUUUCGGAUCGCUCGCGGCUGUCGGCGACUUCGGUGAAUGCAUUAUGGAGUGGACCUCGAUUCGCGGUAUGUUGGGCUUCGGCUGGACAAUGUUGCUUAUUGGGUGUCUGUUCCGCGUUCGCCUUGAGGUGUACUGGUGGCUGUGGGAUUGAACUGGUUACUGUUGUUAGUAGUGGGCGGCUCGUUGUCGUGGGUGCAUCUGUGUUUUUGUACUUGUGCAAUUGGCAGAAGAGGAGUCUCAAUUUGGGAAAUUAGUGUACUCCGGGUUUGAUCCUGCGUGUAUAUCUCAAUUGGACCUGAUAUCAGACCAAGACUACCCGCUGAACUUAAGCAUAUCAAAAAGGGCCGAAGACACACCUAAAAAAACAUAUCACGUGAACUGGU
This 1069-nucleotide ribosomal RNA is filed under the name Globisporangium sylvaticum. RNAcentral describes it as "eukaryotic LSU rRNA". The stretch from base 360 to 514 matches the Rfam family "5.8S ribosomal RNA". Lineage: Eukaryota; Oomycota; Peronosporomycetes; Pythiales; Pythiaceae. The record is from RNAcentral.